Solanum tuberosum (potato) is the source of this 832-nucleotide long non-coding RNA. RefSeq lists it as uncharacterized. The transcript is spliced from 2 exons. Lineage: Eukaryota; Viridiplantae; Streptophyta; Magnoliopsida; Solanales; Solanaceae. The record is from RefSeq and is a predicted model, not a curated record.
CGGAAUAAAGUAAUUGUCUGAGAUAACUUCACUCGUUUUACCUGUAAAAAUUUGUCAAGUAUAAAGUUCUUCUUCCACUUUCUGAAAUUAGAAUAUCAUAAAUAAAUAUUUGUUCAUAGCUUAGUGUAGUUGCUCUCCGUUGCAUUUAUUUUGCAUGAUGAAAAAUUUUCAGCUCAUUCUUAAAGUAUCCUGAUUGUGCAAUUUACAAAUAUUGUAACAAGUGAUUGUCUCGGUGACUCUUCCAGAUUGUUGCAACAUUGAGCUGUUGAACUGAUUGGAGUUCUAACGCUUUUAUAUACCAACUUUCUGUAGCAAUGAAUCCUGAACAAACAAGAACAUCCCGCAUAAUGAAACAGGCUUAUGAAAAGAAUACCAAACGAUGUAAAAUAUAUUGUGAUAUGUCGUUAGCUGAAAGUGCCAUUAUAUUAUGUUUAUCUUUCUACCGAGUAUCGAGUAGCUAGCACUUUUCGACCAUUUCCUCUACUUCUACAAUUAACACUAGGAAGAUUUCUCCUCACACAAGAGAUUGUGAGGAAAUCAUGAAUUUAAGUUUACUGAACCUCACCACUUUUUCAAGUAAAGAAUUGGAACCUACUCUAAUUGAAAUAUCAUCCCGCGGUUCUGGUGCACAUGGAAAACCGAGUUUUGUUUAUGGAUGAAGUUGUUCUUAUGUUCCUUUAAAAGUUCCUGCAACCUUUUCUACUAUGUCUUCUUCCUCUUUUGGACUUACUAUAUCUUUGUCUAUUCUGCUAAGUGCUUCGUCUGCUUUAAUGGUUAUUAUAGAAGCAUUUUGUAUUACGCCUAUUAUCAAAAAACUAAUUUUGGUCUUUUA